CGCUCCCCUUCCCCGUCGAUCUCCUCCGCUGCCCACAUGCCGCCGCACCCGCCGCUAAUCCCUAGCCCUGCCCACAAGCCUAAGCCAUAGCCCCUGCUCUGCGUGCUCCGCUUCCUCCGUGUGGCAGCUGUGGCGGCCGUUGUUUCCCUCUCCAUCCUCUCUGGCAGCGCCGUUGGAGCAGCAUCGACGGCGGCCGUAGAGCAGCCCUCGGACAACCAUGCUGUCAACGGCGGCAGAUCCCUUUCAGUUAAGGCAGAGAAAGUGUAGGGAGCAUCUUGCAGGGGACAGUUCUUUUGUUGCAAAUUCGGAGGGAGCUAAAUACUUGGAGUUGCGGCCUUCCUGGGGAAUGCUCAUGGCCUCACCUUAUAAGUCAGAGAUGAGGAAACUGUGUUUGGAUGUGAGGUUCCAACUGCCUCGACGAUAAGAAGAACCAGACCUUCACAGCAACAGAAGAGGCUUGACCGGGGUAUUGCGGAGUUCGUGGUGAUGGCAGUCUCUCGAGAUCCUUCUUCUCCCCUGCUCACCGAGGUCCAGAUGUGAGAAGCUUCCCCCCUAUGUACCAACCUAGCAGGGGCUGGAUGUGGGGACAAGCUGCUGCAUAUGUUUGUGUAAUCACCUGCUGUUGGGAGAGGACCUGUCUCGACGCUUCAUCGCGUGUGUAGUUGAUCUAUGUAUAUGUAUAUCGUUAGUUCACUUUAUUGGAAGUAGAUUGCUGGUUUAGAAGUCGAAUGGCUAUGCUAUUCCCUGGUUGUGCCAAGAGCUCUCUCAUGUUACUCCGGCCAUUAGGUAUUGGUGCAUCGGUGUCCAGGUUGCUCGCAUGUGCGACUACUGCAGGACCCAUGAUGGUCAGACAGCAAUCAACCUCAAUCUUGUGCUGGUUGAUGAUAAGGUGCGAUUCUCCUAUAUAUAUUGUUUGGUGUUGUGAACCUUUCAGAGCAAGCGAGUUCAAUAGUGUUUCAGAUAACCAGGUGAACCCUUAGAGCAAUGCAAGCAAGCUCUAUUGUAUUCAAUUCUACUCUAUUUUAUUCGAUUCUGGUUUAGGAGGAUUGAAUUUAUUUUCCUCUGAUAGCUUGUCAAUUUUAAGUGAUUUCAGUAUCCCAAAAUUUGAAAGAAGAAAAUCGUAGCACUAGAGACAACUAUACAUACUGCAGCUUAUGUCAUGAGAUCAUAUCAUCACUCUACUUUUAUUCAUUCAGUUGAGUUGCUGCUGGAAGGAUAUACCUAGCCAGCCUACACCCUAGAGCAGUUCAAGUUCUUUUAUGCUGAAGUGAUGUACCUGACUGUAUUAAAUAAAAAUACUAACCUCAGCAGCGGUUCAUGCAUACAUCAUUGGUUUAAACUUGAGGGUUUCACAGCCUGCAGUUCAUGAUUUUGAAAGUGAUGGCAUCCUGACUGGGUACCAGUUGUAUUUUGAUUCUCCUAAGCUUUCAAUUGACAUUCUUUCUCAGGUAAAUAUAUGGACAAGAUGCAUAACAGCAGGCAAUGAACCGACUUCACUAAAUUGCACAUAUGGGAAACUGGGUGCUAUGUUUCCUCUUGCGAACCAUGCUGUCAAAAGGGUGCAAAAGCACAGGUGGCUGUUCUGGUUCCCAGCACAACCCAUGCACUCAGAAGAGGAUUAUAGACUACUUCAGUAAAAAUGUAGGAACAUUUGGCGGUGAUUACCGUGCUCUGCUCAGCAUGAGUAGGUUUGUGUGCUCUCUUCCCGCAGAACUUGCUGAACACUUGUUUCUUACGCUGUUUGAAGGCAAUUUUUAUCUGACCGAACAUUUGGUUUUGCUUGUAACACGUCCU
Molecule: long non-coding RNA, 1794 nt
Organism: Lolium perenne
Lineage: Eukaryota; Viridiplantae; Streptophyta; Magnoliopsida; Poales; Poaceae
Source: RefSeq, a predicted model, not a curated record